RNAcentral lists this transfer RNA (83 nucleotides) under Patiria miniata (bat star). RNAcentral's name for it is "tRNA-Leu". It matches the Rfam family "tRNA". From Rfam's summary of the family: Transfer RNA (tRNA) molecules are approximately 80 nucleotides in length. Their secondary structure includes four short double-helical elements and three loops (D, anti-codon, and T loops). Lineage: Eukaryota; Metazoa; Echinodermata; Asteroidea; Valvatida; Asterinidae. The record is from Rfam by way of RNAcentral.
GUCAGGAUGGCCGAGCGGUCUAAGGCGCUACGUUUAGGCCGUAGUCUACUCUGUAGGCGUGGGUUCGAAUCCCACUCCUGACA